RNAcentral lists this ribosomal RNA (536 nucleotides) under Escherichia coli. Its description in RNAcentral is "partial 23S ribosomal RNA". It matches the Rfam family "Bacterial large subunit ribosomal RNA", at positions 711 to 1245 of the family's 2925-position model. The record is from RNAcentral. Lineage: Bacteria; Pseudomonadati; Pseudomonadota; Gammaproteobacteria; Enterobacterales; Enterobacteriaceae.
AGACCCGAAACCCGGUGAUCUAGCCAUGGGCAGGUUGAAGGUUGGGUAACACUAACUGGAGGACCGAACCGACUAAUGUUGAAAAAUUAGCGGAUGACUUGUGGCUGGGGGUGAAAGGCCAAUCAAACCGGGAGAUAGCUGGUUCUCCCCGAAAGCUAUUUAGGUAGCGCCUCGUGAAUUCAUCUCCGGGGGUAGAGCACUGUUUCGGCAAGGGGGUCAUCCCGACUUACCAACCCGAUGCAAACUGCGAAUACCGGAGAAUGUUAUCACGGGAGACACACGGCGGGUGCUAACGUCCGUCGUGAAGAGGGAAACAACCCAGACCGCCAGCUAAGGUCCCAAAGUCAUGGUUAAGUGGGAAACGAUGUGGGAAGGCCCAGACAGCCAGGAUGUUGGCUUAGAAGCAGCCAUCAUUUAAAGAAAGCGUAAUAGCUCACUGGUCGAGUCGGCCUGCGCGGAAGAUGUAACGGGGCUAAACAAUGCACCGAAGCUGCGGCAGCGACACUGUGUGUUGUUGGGUAGGGGAGCGUUCUGUA